RNAcentral lists this ribosomal RNA (253 nucleotides) under uncultured bacterium. RNAcentral's name for it is "partial 16S ribosomal RNA". It matches the Rfam family "Bacterial small subunit ribosomal RNA", at positions 524 to 776 of the family's 1533-position model. The record is from RNAcentral.
UACAGAGGGGGCAAGCGUUGUUCGGAAUUACUGGGCGUAAAGGGCGCGUAGGCGGCCCGCUAAGUCGAACGUGAAAUCCCCGGGCUCAACCCGGGAACUGCGUCCGAUACUGGUGGGCUCGAAUCCGGGAGAGGGAUGCGGAAUUCCAGGUGUAGCGGUGAAAUGCGUAGAUAUCUGGAGGAACACCGGUGGCGAAGGCGGCAUCCUGGACCGGUAUUGACGCUGAGGCGCGAAAGCCAGGGGAGCAAACGGG